RNAcentral lists this ribosomal RNA (465 nucleotides) under Vreelandella stevensii. RNAcentral describes it as "partial 16S ribosomal RNA". It matches the Rfam family "Bacterial small subunit ribosomal RNA", at positions 338 to 795 of the family's 1533-position model. Lineage: Bacteria; Pseudomonadati; Pseudomonadota; Gammaproteobacteria; Oceanospirillales; Halomonadaceae. The record is from RNAcentral.
CCUACGGGUGGCAGCAGUGGGGAAUAUUGGACAAUGGGGGCAACCCUGAUCCAGCCAUGCCGCGUGUGUGAAGUAGGCCCUCGGGUUGUAAAGCACUUUCAGUGAGGAAGAACGCCUGGUGGUUAAUACCCAUCAGGAAAGACAUCACUCACAGAAGAAGCACCGGCUAACUCCGUGCCAGCAGCCGCGGUAAUACGGAGGGUGCGAGCGUUAAUCGGAAUUACUGGGCGUAAAGCGCGCGUAGGUGGCUUGAUAAGCCGGUUGUGAAAGCCCCGGGCUCAACCUGGGAACGGCAUCCGGAACUGUCAAGCUAGAGUGCAGGAGAGGAAGGUAGAAUUCCCGGUGUAGCGGUGAAAUGCGUAGAGAUCGGGAGGAAUACCAGUGGCGAAGGCGGCCUUCUGGACUGACACUGACACUGAGGUGCGAAAGCGUGGGUAGCAAACAGGAUUAGAUACCCUGGUAGUC